This 460-nucleotide ribosomal RNA is filed under the name uncultured bacterium. Its description in RNAcentral is "partial 16S ribosomal RNA". It matches the Rfam family "Bacterial small subunit ribosomal RNA", at positions 338 to 795 of the family's 1533-position model. The record is from RNAcentral.
CCUACGGGUGGCAGCAGUGAGGAAUAUUGGUCAAUGGGCGAGAGCCUGAACCAGCCAAGUCGCGUGAAGGAUGACGGCCCUACGGGUUGUAAACUUCUUUUGUCAGGGAGCAAUUGAGUCCACGUGUGUGCUUAGCGAGAGUACCUGACGAAAAAGCAUCGGCUAACUCCGUGCCAGCAGCCGCGGUAAUACGGAGGAUGCGAGCGUUAUCCGGAUUUAUUGGGUUUAAAGGGUGCGUAGGCGGAAUAUCAAGUCAGCGGUAAAAAGUCGGGGCUCAACCCCGUCGUGCCGUUGACACUGAGGUUCUUGAGUGGGCGAGAAUUAGGCGGAAUGCGGGGUGUAGCGGUGAAAGGCAUAGAUAUAACGAAGAACACCGAUUGCGAAGGCAGCAUACCGGCGCCCAACUGACGCUGAAGCACGAAAGCGUGGGGAUCGAACAGGAUUAGAUACCCGAGUAGUC